Molecule: long non-coding RNA, 451 nt
Organism: Terrapene triunguis (Three-toed box turtle)
Lineage: Eukaryota; Metazoa; Chordata; Testudines; Emydidae
Exons: 3
Source: RefSeq, a predicted model, not a curated record
GAACAAAAGGAUUGUCCUUCCCCUGAAGAUCUUACAGUAUGGAGAACCCUAGCACAGAGAAGUAAAGUAAUUUGCCCAGCAUCAUCAAUCAGUGAGUCAGGGGCAGAACUGGGAACAGAUGUUCUGAUUCCUGGUGUUAUGAUCUGCUGAACCACACUGCCUCUUCAAGACCUGCUCAAUUUGGUGGCUCUGCUGAGACGGCUACUCAAGGAGUUGCGGGGGUCGUGCCUGCAGACGGGCAGUGCACGGAGACCCCCUUCCCCCCAGGAGCCGCUGCCGAACAUGGCGGCUGCUUCCAGUGGCAUGGGGCCAGGGCAGACAGGGAGCCUGCCUUAGCCCUGCUGCAUCACUGCCUGAGAGCAUGCCUUCUCCUGGGAUAAGCCACAAAGGGUAGACUGGAAUCCGUGAAAGCACAAACAGAAGUCCAGAUCCCGUGAUCACAUUGACCAGG